RNAcentral lists this transfer RNA (72 nucleotides) under Marmota monax (woodchuck). Its description in RNAcentral is "tRNA.Val". It matches the Rfam family "tRNA". From Rfam's summary of the family: Transfer RNA (tRNA) molecules are approximately 80 nucleotides in length. Their secondary structure includes four short double-helical elements and three loops (D, anti-codon, and T loops). Lineage: Eukaryota; Metazoa; Chordata; Mammalia; Rodentia; Sciuridae. The record is from RNAcentral.
UGGGGUGUAGCUCAGUGAUAGAGUAUACAAUUAACAUGUGGGAGACCCUGGGUUCAAUUCCCAGCACCAAAG